This is a small nuclear RNA of Xiphias gladius (swordfish), 158 nucleotides long. RefSeq annotates it as U1 spliceosomal RNA. The record is from RefSeq and is a predicted model, not a curated record. The transcript has a single exon. Lineage: Eukaryota; Metazoa; Chordata; Actinopteri; Istiophoriformes; Xiphiidae.
AUACUUACCUGGCAGGGGAGACACCAUGAUCAAGAAGGUGGUUCACCCAGGCGAGGCUCAGCUAUUGCACCCGGUUAAAGGACCUCGCGAAUUCCCCAAAUGGGAAUUCACUGCACAAUUUCUGGGAUAGUGGGGACUGGCGUCAAGGCUUCCCUGGU